CAUGUAUUUAUUUUAAUGUAUAUGUGAAAGGCUUUGACUAAAACCAGAACAGCACUUUUCAUGUUAUGCCCAACAGGGUCUGGGAGGAGUGUCACAUGAUUUACUGAUAUGCCCUGUACAGAUCUCUAAAUUAGCUCAAAAAUAAAACAUGAAUAGGUUUUAUGCAAACAGGUAAUUUUAAUGAAUUUCUUUCUAAUAACGUGUGAACUUAAUGGUAAAAUUCACUCCACCUGCCAGGGCUG
This is a non-coding RNA of Pelobates cultripes (western spadefoot toad), 242 nucleotides long. The record is from the annotation of a GenBank genome assembly. NCBI's taxonomy places the organism in Eukaryota, Metazoa, Chordata, Amphibia, Anura, Pelobatidae.